UACGUAGGGGGCAAGCGUUGUCCGGAAUUAUUGGGCGUAAAGCGCGCGCAGGCGGUGCGUUAAGGCGGAUGUGAAAGGCUACGGCUCAACCGUAGAGCUGCAUCCGAAACUGGCGGACUUGAGUGCAGGAGAGGGGAGUGGACUUCCCGGUGUAGCGGUGGAAUGCGUAGAGAUCGGGAGGAACACCAGUGGCGAAGGCGACUCUCUGCCCUGUAACUGACGCUGAGGCGCGAAAGCGUGGGGAGCAAACACG
RNAcentral lists this ribosomal RNA (253 nucleotides) under uncultured bacterium. Its description in RNAcentral is "partial 16S ribosomal RNA". It matches the Rfam family "Bacterial small subunit ribosomal RNA", at positions 524 to 776 of the family's 1533-position model. The record is from RNAcentral.